RNAcentral lists this ribosomal RNA (1290 nucleotides) under Triticum aestivum (bread wheat). Its description in RNAcentral is "partial small subunit ribosomal RNA". The record is from RNAcentral. Lineage: Eukaryota; Viridiplantae; Streptophyta; Magnoliopsida; Poales; Poaceae.
AUGUUGGACAUCCAUCGGCCAAUGGCGUCCCAGCCCCGGAGCCCCGUCGCUCCGGGCGACAACGGCGCCAACAACGGCGACUUUCUCCCCGCGGACGAGCUGCAGGAGGUGUUCUUGCGGCUGCCGUCAAAGUCUCUCGGCCGCCUCCGCACAAUCUGCCGGUCGUGGCGGUCCAUGCUCUCCGACCCGCUCUUCGUCGCCGCACACGCUACCCGCUCCCGCGCGGACUCCAUCUUCGUCGUCGUCGCCGUCCACCACCCUGGUCAUCAACUAGUCGACAUCAACCUCGUGGACGUGUCCACCGGCGCCGUGCUGAGGUGCAUGGACGGGCUAGCCCUAGCUAGGCGUCGGUUCUGCAUGGGCGGCGAGCUCCUCUGUUCCGUGGAGCCUAGACCUGGUGGCGGCGCAGGCGCAGUCCAGAUGCUCGACCCGGCCACAGGCGCCAUCACCGACGUGCUCCCACCCGCCGACGCCACAGACAGUGGCACCACGACCUACGUCCUCCAAUCCGGCGACGCCACGGCGCCACAAAAUCACACUGGCUGCACCGCCACGUUGUACUUGGUCGGCCACGUGCCCGCCACGGGAGAGCACAAGGUGCUCCACAUCACCGACGUCCGCGGCAAGCAGGCAUGCGAGGUCUUCACCAUCGGCGCCGCCGGCCGCAACAACGGCCACCAAUGCCAGCGCUGGAGGCCAGCGCAGAGCCCUCCGAUGCGCGUCGACUCGAUUCCCCGGCGCAGAGCGGUUGUCAACGGCGUCGCCUACUUCCUGCCCUCCCACCUGAACGGGCGCUGCCUGCUGGACUACGACAGCGUCGCCGCGUUCGACCUCGAGAAGGAGGAGUGGAGGCCCGCUCCCAUCCGGGGCCCGCUGAGCAGCGAGCGUCCGGGCCACUGCGACCAACUCCUGUGUUUCAGCCUGGCCGAGCUGAAUGGCCACCUCGUCAUGGUCCAUCAUAACAACCUACGCAAAACUGUCGACAUGUACUCCCUCUCCCCGACGGAGGGGGUAGAGUGGUCGAUGGGGCCAUCUCUGCGUCUCGACUCAGUUCUCGACCGUAACCGUAAAGGGGAAACUCUGGUGCAGCCAUUGAUGGAGCUCGACGACAGGAGGAUCGCGCUCUUUGUACCAGGGACACAGCACAACGUCGUGCGGGUGUAUGAUCCAAGAAAGGAGACUAGGACGGACGUGAUGGAGAUGCCUCGGGGUCAUAUUAUUGUUGGGUGCUACAAAGGUAGCCUCCUUCCGUUUCAUGGGAUGGGUGAAGCCCGGUGUGUUUGUGGAUGA